Molecule: long non-coding RNA, 1177 nt
Organism: Melitaea cinxia (Glanville fritillary)
Lineage: Eukaryota; Metazoa; Arthropoda; Insecta; Lepidoptera; Nymphalidae
Exons: 2
Source: RefSeq, a predicted model, not a curated record
UGGGACAAACAUUGUUCGAACGCUGGCUAGAAUUAUUAUUGCUUGUUUAUGUUAGGUCGCUAAUAAAUAUGAAAUAUUAAAAAGUAAGAUAUUGACAUUGACAAAUGGAGAGAAAAUUGGUUUGAGGCUUGACUAAAUUUUAUCUACAAUUCCUAUCAAGCAAUUAGUAUUAUUUUCCUCGAUACACCACGGCGGAGUCGAGUAUUUAUUUUAUCUACGUGUGUCAAAAAUGUCGGAAAAAUGUCGGAAAAGUUGCGGAAUUCGACGUGAAGAGGGGAUCGUGGUCAUUAUGCAUAGAACGCCUGGAAAUUAAUGAAUUUUAAGGUGAGGGUAAUAUCAACGACGGACUAAAAUUACCUUCUUUAAUAGCGGUCAUGGGAGACGAGGCGUAUGAACCAUUAAAAAAAUUAUCAAGCGCCAAAACACUAGCUGAGAUGGAAUAUUCGGUGACGGUAUCGAUAGUGAAAAAUCAUCUACAACCGAGAGCGUUGCCGGUUUAGGCAAAGACGUAAGUCAGGCUAUCGGCGAGAACGUUGCGAGUUAUAUAGAUGAACUGAAGGGGUUGGCGCGUCACACGAUAGCAAAAAUACCAUUAUUUCAGAAGAAUAUAUAAAUAAUGAACUAAGACGGUCGAUAGAAGUAAACGAAGAGGCAUUAAAAUUCUGCGAUUAAUCAAGUUUUAGACACAACUUUAUCCAUUAGAAAAUCGACAUAAAACCAACAACUCUCCAAAGUCAUUUUACAAGAAUAUAUAAAAAGGCUGGGAAAACGGGGAAAAUCAAAGACAUAAAAUUGUUGAAAUACUCUUCUCUCUGAAUAUAUUAUGUAGAUCGAUAGAAAAAGAAAACCAAAGGAGUUGAAGAGAAAAUAAAAAGAGAGAUAUAAAUAAUACUAUUAGCACACAAAUUUAGUAGAAUAAGUUAGUAAGGUAAUGAUAAUAAACAUCGUUAAAACUGAAACUCUGUAAAGUGUAUAAAUAAAUAAAUAACUAAAUAAAAUGUAUUAGAAUUAAGAAAAUAAGAUGUAAAUAAAAAGAAAAGGCCUCUCACAAUAAUUCAUAAAUCAUGUAAUAAAUAAAUAGAACAAAAAGGAAACCCCGCUUUGUUUUACUAUCCCAUAACUUAGGUAAAAUGAAAAAUAUUAAAAUAAAUAUAAUAGCUUAGAUAAAAAAUAAAAA